CAAGGGCAACCGGCGAACGGGUGCGUAACACGUGAGCGACCUGCCUGAGUGCGGGGGAUAGCCGGCCCAACGGCCGGGUAAUACCGCAUACGCUUCUCGAGGGGCAUCUCUUGGGAAGGAAACUUUCGAGGCACUCAGAGGGGUCGCGGCCUAUCAGCUAGUUGGCGGGGUAAUGGCCCACCAAGGCGACGACGGGUAGCUGGUCUGAGAGGAUGGCCAGCCACAUUGGGACCGAGAGACGGCCCAGACUCCUACGGGAGGCAGCAGUGGGGAAUCUUGCGCAAUGGCCGAAAGGCUGACGCAGCGACGCCGCGUGUGGGAGGAAGCUCUUCGGGGUGUAAACCACUGUUGCCCGGGACGAACAUGGUCUUUCGAGGCCACUGACGGUACCGGGUGAGGAAGCACCGGCUAACUCUGUGCCAGCAGCCGCGGUAAUACAGAGGGUGCGAGCGUUGUCCGGAAUCACUGGGCGUAAAGGGCGCGUAGGCGGCCUGGUAAGGUUGCGGUGAAAGCCCGGGGCUCAACCCCGGGUCGGCCGUGGCAACUGCUGGGCUGGAGCACUGUAGAGGCAGGUGGAAUUCCGGGUGUAGCGGUGGAAUGCGUAGAGAUCCGGAAGAACACCGGUGGCGAAGGCGGCCUGCUGGGCAGUGGCUGACGCUGAGCGCGACAGCGUGGGGAGCAAACAGGAUUAGAUACCCUGGUAGUCCACGCCGUAAACGAUGGGCACUAGGUGCUUGGGGGAGCGACCCUCCGAGUGCCGGCGCUAACGCAUUAAGUGCCCCGCCUGGGGAGUACGGCCGCAAGGCUGAAACUCAAAGGAAUUGACGG
Molecule: ribosomal RNA, 828 nt
Filed under: uncultured Gemmatimonadota bacterium
Lineage: Bacteria; Pseudomonadati; Gemmatimonadota
Description: bacterial SSU rRNA
Rfam family: Bacterial small subunit ribosomal RNA
Source: RNAcentral